Protopterus annectens (West African lungfish) is the source of this 803-nucleotide long non-coding RNA. RefSeq lists it as uncharacterized. The record is from RefSeq and is a predicted model, not a curated record. Lineage: Eukaryota; Metazoa; Chordata; Ceratodontiformes; Protopteridae. The transcript is spliced from 4 exons.
AUAAACCACAAAGGAGAUAAACCAAACGUGAUCUCUGCCUUCUCAGAGAUACUCGUCUACCUUCGGACUCCGCAGAUAAAGGACCUUAGCGUUUUCUACAGCAAAGUGGAGCAAUGUUUUAAAGGUGCAGCUCAGGCCACCCAAUGCAAGGUUGAAGUUACAACUGUUGGGAACAUUUACUAUGGUUUGCUCAAAAUAGAACUCUGGAGGCACUAUAUGAAGAAAAUGCAAGAAAUCUUGGGGUCACAUUCACAACUGACGAGAGAGGCUUGAAAUCCCAUUCCUAUGCUACAGACUUUGGAAAUGUCAGUUUUGCUGUCCCUGGAAUCCAUGCUAUGUUCAGUAUAGGCUCAAAAGAACUGAAUCACACAGAGCAGUACACAGAGGCAGCAGGUUCCACUGAAGCCCAACACUACACCCUGCGGGCUGCUAAGGCACUGUCAAUGACAGCACUGGAUGUGAUCUGCAGGCCUGAACUGGUCCCACUGAUGAAGAAUGACUGGGAAGCUGCUAUCCAUCAAUCAGGAAUGAAAGUGAAUGGAAGGCUUUAGGGUCCUGAUGGAAGUAUAUCUCCAUGGAAAUGAAAUUCGGCUGUGCUUAAAAGAAGCAUUAUACUGAGACAUCUAUAUAAAGUGAACUAUUAUCCAGAUGAAAGCGGAUGUCUUUUUAAACUCACUUACAAACUAAGUCUUUAUUUGUUGUAAAAAAAUGCCAUCUCUUUAAGGUGCUGUUAUAUGAUUUCACUUAAAUAUGUACACAAAUCCUUUUAAUCUCAAAAUACAGAGAAAUAAUUUUUUUCCAAA